CAGCAGCCGCGGGAAUACGGAGGGUGCAAGCGUUAAUCGGAAUUACUGGGCGUAAAGCGUGCGUAGGCGGUUCGUUAAGUCUGUUGUGAAAGCCCCGGGCUCAACCUGGGAAUGGCAAUGGAUACUGGCGAGCUAGAGUGUGUCAGAGGAUGGUGGAAUUCCCGGUGUAGCGGUGAAAUGCGUAAAGAUCGGGAGGAACAUCAGUGGCGAAGGCGGCCAUCUGGGACAACACUGACGCUGAGGCACGAAAGCGUGGGGAGCAAACAGGAUUAGAUACCCGCGUAGUCCCUGUCUCUUAUAC
This 301-nucleotide ribosomal RNA is filed under the name uncultured bacterium. RNAcentral's name for it is "partial 16S ribosomal RNA". It matches the Rfam family "Bacterial small subunit ribosomal RNA", at positions 509 to 807 of the family's 1533-position model. The record is from RNAcentral.